Molecule: ribosomal RNA, 459 nt
Filed under: uncultured bacterium
Lineage: Bacteria
Description: SSU rRNA
Rfam family: Bacterial small subunit ribosomal RNA
Source: RNAcentral
AGAAUCAACGCUGGCGGCGUGCCUAACACAUGCAAGUCGCACGAGAAAGGGGAGCAAUCCCUGAGUAAAGUGGCGCACGGGUGAGUAACACGUGACUAACCUACCCUUGAGUGGGGGAUAACCUAGAGAAAUCUGGGCUAAUACCGCAUAAUACCUUCGGGUCAAAGGAGCAAUUCGCUUAAGGAGGGGGUCGCGGCCGAUUAGUUAGUUGGCGGGGUAAUGGCCCACCAAGACUGUGAUCGGUAUCCGGCCUGAGAGGGCGCACGGACACACUGGAACUGAAACACGGUCCAGACUCCUACGGGAGGCAGCAGUGGGGAAUUUGCGCAAUGGGGGAAACCCUGACGCAGCAACGCCGCGUGGAGGAUGAAGCCCCUUGGGGCGUAAACUCCUUUCGAUCGGGAAGAUAAUGACGGUACCGAGAGAAGAAGCCCCGGCUAACUUCGUGCCAGCAGCCGC